CAAAGGACUGUUUACUGGAUGGUCCCAAGCAGUUAUUCCUCAAAAUUCAAUAUUGAUUUCUUCUUCUUAAGCCGCUUCUCAGAAUUGACGGUUCAUACGCCUAGCGAAACAUUGCUGCACAGUUUCUUGGUCACCCUUCUUUCGCCUUUGAGAUGGGCAACAUCAAAACUCGUUGAGAGCUAUCUUACCUGGGAACUUCCGUUGAAAAAGUACAAAACGGUACCAAAACAUAGCUUUCUCGAGCAGUUUUCUUCGUGUCAAGUCCCAUUAUUGCCCGAUAACUUCUACAGAAGGUGGAAGAAGGAAGCAUCGUAUUGAAGAAAUCUCAAAGCAUGAGCUUCUGCUCAGAAGGUUUAAUUAUUGAUGGGGAAGUCAAGCCUCUAAAAACAGACCUUGUGAUUCUUGCCACUGGCUUCAAAGGAGAUGAGAAGCUCAAAAAUAUGUUCACUUCUCCAACCUUUCAAAAAUUCAUAAAGGGGCCAACAACCACUCAAGUUCCUCUCUACAGGUUCUCUCCAUGAGAUCGAUUUCAAUUUCUACUUCCCAUAAGUUUUCUUCAUUAUAUUCAAGUAUCAAGACUUUGUUUCGGUUAGCUUAGAAACAGCGUUUCAGAAUCAUAAGAGAAAUGACAAGAGAAUUUGGCUAUGUAAGAAAA
Non-coding RNA from Camellia sinensis, 655 nucleotides. The record is from RefSeq and is a predicted model, not a curated record. NCBI's taxonomy places the organism in Eukaryota, Viridiplantae, Streptophyta, Magnoliopsida, Ericales, Theaceae.